This is a non-coding RNA of Gossypium hirsutum (cotton), 146 nucleotides long. The record is from Rfam. Lineage: Eukaryota; Viridiplantae; Streptophyta; Magnoliopsida; Malvales; Malvaceae.
UGUUAAAAAAAUUUAUCUAUUUAUAUUAUUAAAAAUUAAUAUAGUUGAUGGAACAACUAGACAAUGGCAUGUGACAUGUCAUGUGCACCUCAUGUUGACAUACAAGAACAAAUUUUUAACAGUAAAAAUGGAUGAAAUUUUUAAUA